Molecule: long non-coding RNA, 925 nt
Filed under: Olea europaea (common olive)
Lineage: Eukaryota; Viridiplantae; Streptophyta; Magnoliopsida; Lamiales; Oleaceae
Description: long non-coding RNA (OEUR_LNC012574)
Source: RNAcentral
UGGUAUGGACUAGACUAGAGAUCAUUUCAAUUUGCUUAAUGGUGGCUUAAUAGUGAGUAGACAGCGCGUUUUCACACUGAUAUUGAUGCCGAUUGCUUGUUUUCUGAUAGCUUUUCUUUUUAUUUCACAAUCCAAGAGGCUAAUCGUAAGAAAUCAUGAAUCUGAAAAUAUUUUUGAUUGAGCAGCUAGGUUUUGCUAUCUGGGAACCACCUCAUGGAUGCUAUAAAAAGCUUGAUUAUCCAUGGAGAAACUAUGUCAAAGUGAGUGGUGCACUGAGGCAUUGUGCAUUCAUGGUCAUGGCGCUACAUGGAUGCCUCCUCUCUGAAAUUCAGGUAAAUAAAAGUAGAACUUCGAAGAUACAUAACUUCUGUAAGUUAUUGAUUUAUUAUUUUCAGAAUUUCUUAACAAGAAAGAAUCAGCAAAAGGUUUAGUUCAUUUAUGCUUAGGCACCACCAGAAAAGAGGCAGGCUUUCUGCAGGGAACUUAAAAGGGUUGGUGCAGAGGGUGCAAAAGUUUUACACGUGCUGGGGAGCAAAAUCGAGACUAUGCAAAAGUUGAACUCAGAUGACAUACUCGAACAAGUUCACGAGGCAGCCCAACAGUUGCAGAAGAGAAUAGAUCAAAAAUCAUAUCUUCUAGUCAAAUCAGAAACCUGGGAAAUUGGUAAUCGCUCUCAAGAAGUAGCAGAUAAUGAGAAUGUUCCCACUGAAAAUGAUGAUCAUCAAGAGUUGCAUUUAGUGCUUAAGUCCCUUAGUGAAACUGUACUUGAUCCGAGAUCAAUGCCAAUGUUGACAUCAAAUUUGGACACAAAAGACAUGACGACUUACACGUUAAGGAAGCAAGUGCCUUGGCCUUCGUGUUUUGCCCUCGACAAUGAAUCUUUGAUUCGGAAGGAUGAAAUCAAGACAUAUGAAAGUGCGAGUGC